UACGAAGGGGGCGAGCGUUGUUCGGAUUUACUGGGCGUAAAGCGUGCGUAGGUGGUGCGUUAAGUCUGUCGUGAAAGCCCCGGGCUCAACCUGGGAAUGGCGAUGGAUACUGGCGCGCUAGAGUGCGGUAGAGGAGAGUGGAAUUCCCGGUGUAGCAGUGAAAUGCGUAGAGAUCGGGAGGAACAUCAGUUGCGAAGGCGGCUCUCUGGACCAGCACUGACACUGAGGCACGAAAGCGUGGGGAGCAAACAGG
This 253-nucleotide ribosomal RNA is filed under the name uncultured bacterium. RNAcentral describes it as "partial 16S ribosomal RNA". It matches the Rfam family "Bacterial small subunit ribosomal RNA", at positions 524 to 776 of the family's 1533-position model. The record is from RNAcentral.